AAGGUUAAGCCUCACGGUUCAUUAGUACCGGUUAGCUCAACGCAUCGCUGCGCUUACACACCCGGCCUAUCAACGUCGUCGUCUUCAACGUUCCUUCAGGACCCUUAAAGGGUCAGGGAGAACUCAUCUCGGGGCAAGUUUCGUGCUUAGAUGCUUUCAGCACUUAUCUCUUCCGCAUUUAGCUACCGGGCAGUGCCAUUGGCAUGACAACCCGAACACCAGUGAUGCGUCCACUCCGGUCCUCUCGUACUAGGAGCAGCCCCCCUCAGUUCUCCAGCGCCCACGGCAGAUAGGGACCGAACUGUCUCACGACGUUCUAAACCCAGCUCGCGUACCACUUUAAAUGGCGAACAGCCAUACCCUUGGGACCUACUUCAGCCCCAGGAUGUGAUGAGCCGACAUCGAGGUGCCAAACACCGCCGUCGAUAUGAACUCUUGGGCGGUAUCAGCCUGUUAUCCCCGGAGUACCUUUUAUCCGUUGAGCGAUGGCCCUUCCAUUCAGAACCACCGGAUCACUAAGACCUACUUUCGUACCUGCUCGAGCCGUCACUCUCGCAGUCAAGCUGGCUUAUGCCUUUGCACUAACCGCAUGAUGUCCGACCAUGCUUAGCCAACCUUCGUGCUCCUCCGUUACUCUUUGGGAGGAGACCGCCCCAGUCAAACUACCCACCAGACACGGUCCCCGAUCCAGAUUAUGGACCCGGGUUAGAACAUCAAACGUUAAAGGGUGGUAUUUCAAGGAUGGCUCCGUGCAGACUGGCGUCCACACUUCGUUGCCUCCCACCUAUCCUACACAUCAAGGCUCAAUGUUCAGUGUCAAGCUAUAGUAAAGGUUCACGGGGUCUUUCCGUCUUGCCGCGGGUACACUGCAUCUUCACAGCGAGUUCAAUUUCACUGAGUCUCGGGUGGAGACAGCCUGGCCAUCAUUACGCCAUUCGUGCAGGUCGGAACUUACCCGACAAGGAAUUUCGCUACCUUAGGACCGUUAUAGUUACGGCCGCCGUUUACCGGGGCUUCGAUCAGAAGCUUCGCCUUGCGGCUGACCUCAUCAAUUAACCUUCCGGCACCGGGCAGGCGUCACACCGUAUACGUCCACUUUCGUGUUUGCACAGUGCUGUGUUUUUAAUAAACAGUUGCAGCCAGCUGGUAUCUGCGGCUGGCUUCAGCUCCGUGGGUAAACCACUUCACCUAAUGCCAGCGUGCCUUCUCCCGAAGUUACGGCACCAUUUUGCCUAGUUCCUUCACCCGAGUUCUCUCAAGCGCCUGAGUAUUCUCUACCUGACCACCUGUGUCGGUUUGGGGUACGAUUAAUGGUAACCUGGAGCUUAGAGGCUUUUCCCGGAAGCAGAGCAUCAAUCACUUCACCACCGUAGUGGCUCGUCGUCACGCCUCAGUGUUAACAACCGACCGGAUUUGCCUGGUCAGUCCACCUGCACGCUUAAACCGGGACAACCGUCGCCCGGAUGAUUUAGCUUUCUCCGUCCCCCCUUCGCAGUUACCACCAGUACGGGAAUAUUAACCCGUUGCCCAUCGACUACGCUUUUCAGCCUCGCCUUAGGGGUCGACUCACCCUGCCCCGAUUAACGUUGGACAGGAACCCUUGGUCUUCCGGCGUGCGGGUUUUUCACCCGCAUUAUCGUUACUUAUGUCAGCAUUCGCACUUCUGAUACCUCCAGCAUGCCUCACAGCACACCUUCACAGGCUUACAGAACGCUCCCCUACCCAACAAUAUUUACAUAUCGCUGCCGCGGCUUCGGUGCAUAAUUUAGCCCCGUUACAUCUUCCGCGCAGGCCGACUCGACCAGUGAGCUAUUACGCUUUCUUUAAAUGAUGGCUGCUUCUAAGCCAACAUCCUGGCUGUCUGAGCCUUCCCACUUCGUUUCCCACUUAAUUAUGACUUUGGGACCUUAGCCGGCGGUCUGGGUUGUUUCCCUCUUCACGACGAACGUUAGCACCCGCCGUGUGUCUCCCGUGAUAACAUUCUCCGGUAUUCGCAGUUUGCAUCGGGUUGGUAAGUCGGGAUGACCCCCUAGCCGAAACAGUGCUCUACCCCCGGAGAUGAAUUCACGAGGCGCUACCUAAAUAGCUUUCGGGGAGAACCAGCUAUCUCCCGGUUUGAUUGGCCUUUCACCCCCAGCCACAAGUCAUCCGCUAAUUUUUCAACAUUAGUCGGUUCGGUCCUCCAGUUAGUGUUACCCAACCUUCAACCUGCCCAUGGCUAGAUCACCGGGUUUCGGGUCUAUACCCUGCAACUAAUUCGCCCAGUUAAGACUCGGUUUCCCUGCGGCUCCCCUAUUCGGUUAACCUUGCUACAGAAUAUAAGUCGCUGACCCAUUAUACAAAAGGUACGCAGUCACACCCCGAAGGGUGCUCCCACUGCUUGUACGUACACGGUUUCAGGUUCUUUUUCACUCCCCUCGCCGGGGUUCUUUUCGCCUUUCCCUCACGGUACUGGUUCACUAUCGGUCAGUCAGGAGUAUUUAGCCUUGGAGGAUGGUCCCCCCGUAUUCAGACAGGAUAACACGUGUCCCGCCUUACUCAUCGGACUCACAACACCAGUGCUUUCAGAUACAGGGCUAUCACCUGCUGUGGCCAGCCUUUCCAGACUGUUCUCUUAACACUGAUGCUGAUUAAGGUCCUGGGCUGCUCCCCGUUCGCUCGCCGCUACUGGGGGAAUCUCGUUUGAUUUCUUUUCCUCGGGGUACUUAGAUGUUUCAGUUCUCCCGGUUCGCUUCAUUACCCUAUGUAUUCAGGUAAUGAUAGUGCAACGAAUUGCACUGGGUUUCCCCAUUCGGAAAUCGCCGGUUAUAACGGUUCAUAUCACCUUACCGGCGCUUAUCGCAGAUUAGCACGUCCUUCAUCGCCUCUGACUGCCUAGGCAUCCACCGUGUACGCUUAUUCGCUUAA
This 2907-nucleotide ribosomal RNA is filed under the name Morganella morganii subsp. morganii KT. Its description in RNAcentral is "23S ribosomal RNA". The record is from RNAcentral. Lineage: Bacteria; Pseudomonadati; Pseudomonadota; Gammaproteobacteria; Enterobacterales; Morganellaceae.